AUUCUCCUCAUAAAGUUUCAAAAAGCAAGGAAGGUAUGUAUCCUCUCAAAAGAGCAAAAGUAGAAUUAGACUUUCACCAUUGUUAUCACCAUCAUCACCAUACAGCAUUCAUUCGCCACAUGCACAUCUUGAUUUGGCUUAUUGAUUUGUUUCUUUGGAUCCAUGGUUUGACUAUACAAUAAAUGUCUUGUAAGUAUGUAUACUUUAUCUCCCACCUAUGAGCUCCAGAUAUUAAAGCCUUAUUAGAGUAGGGUGACAGAGAAGGCAAUAUCACUAUGCCUUAGACCACAAAUACCACAUAUCUUGAGAGAAGGCAUAGACCAUCACUGCCUUGGUAAGGAUCCAGAAAUACCACAAAAGAGAGAUUUAUAGAUUCAUACAUGGAAUCUCUGAGUUUUAUUUGAAAAUCUGCAAAAAAAACCCCAGAGCUAUAGCUGAUCAAGAAUAAGAGACAUGGCACUUGGCUAGACUGUUCUAUCUUUUAACUACUCAAGACAGAAGUGACGGUUACAAGUCCCAUGGUGAGAGGUAAAGUAAGUAAGUUUUAAUUCUUGACAGUUUACUCUAACUCAGAGAUGAGAUCUUAUUUAAAAGCAUGUGUACCGUCAAAUUUUUAAGAUAUUGCAACAACUUCUGAUCCAUAGUUGAGUCUAUCCUUGCUCAGGGACGAGCAAGAUGUAAGAUUGGGGGAGUUUGUUGACGGUCCUUAAGUAUCAAAUUUAAUUAUCAAAUAAAUAAAGAAAAUGAUCCAAAUGCAACCAACACCCAGACUUAGGGUUUUAUCUAACAGAAUUCCACGAGUUUUGGUGUUUGUCUAUUUCUGCAGGGGGUUAUCAGGAAAUACGGAAGAAAGGCCCACAUGUCGGGAUUACAUAGAGAUAUCAACGCACCGCGCAAUUUUCUACCAUCUAGAAGACUCCAGAAGCCACGAGACCGAAGCAGAGGUGAAACGGGGCCAGGACCUGGGCGCCCGCCCAGUUUCCUUGGGCGCCCGCCCACCUGUCGAGCCCAAUCAGGACUCUUUCUCUCGGGAGAUCUCCACCGACCUAUUGGAUCAAGGAAAACAUAGUACCACCUCGCCUACCGACCCAAAAACGCAUAGAGGAGGAGGACUAUAUAAGGAGACCCCCCUGGCCCCUGGAGAAGACAAGAAAUUAUCAUAGAGAUUGAGGAGUGCCCUCGAAGGAAACCUCUUCUCUAAUUAAUAUUUCUUUUUAGGCUUAGCAACCAAUGUAAGGUAGAAAUAGAUCUUCUAGUUUUUACUAGAUUGAGAGAGAUAGAGUGGAGGUGUAGAUCGGAGGAAGCCCGGCCUGUCGGUGUCUACUCCAAGCUUGUACCUACGGGAUCAAGUUCUCCUAACCUGAAGCUUGCUCCUAGGAUUCUUCAGUAUUUCGACUUCUAAAUUCUAGUAAGUUCUUGUUUUAUUGUUCUUAUGGUUUAUGAGUUUACUUUAAUCUCUUCGCGUAGGGUUUAGAGUAAUCCUUACUGGCGUAAACAUGGUGUUUAGGCUGGGGUACUCAUAGAUAUUCCCUGACUAGCUGGACCGUGGUAGUAGUGAGGAAAGUGACAAUUCCGAGUUACCUUUGCAGAUCACAUCUCGUUAGCAGGAAGGAUAGGGUUUAUAGGUGCGGGUUGAACAUCCUUUGUGGUGUCUAGAUUCCGUUAGCCUCCCCAUUAGAACAGUAGAUCAUCCUUACCAAGGUUAGAAGGAGACUACAGUUGCAGUCUUCUCUAUUUAUCACUCACAUCGAGAGACAUUCUUUGUAGCCUAAAGGGAUAGUAGCAAUAGAUUUGGUUAGUCAGAUGCACCCUUUCUCCUAGUGGUAAAAAUAUAAAUACGAUAACUCUGGAUAACCUCCCGAGUGAAAUGCUCACCGAUAUCCGUGCGCUUGCGGAUCAUUUCCUUAUUGCAUUACCAAAUAUCAACAGUCACUAUGCUACAUACUUUGAGAGAAGGCAUAUACCAUCACUGCCUUGGUAAGGAUCCAGAAAUACCACAAA
Molecule: long non-coding RNA, 2001 nt
Filed under: Sorghum bicolor (sorghum)
Lineage: Eukaryota; Viridiplantae; Streptophyta; Magnoliopsida; Poales; Poaceae
Description: long non-coding RNA (SBIC_LNC017500)
Source: RNAcentral